RNAcentral lists this ribosomal RNA (910 nucleotides) under Stutzerimonas stutzeri. RNAcentral's name for it is "bacterial SSU rRNA". It matches the Rfam family "Bacterial small subunit ribosomal RNA", at positions 8 to 914 of the family's 1533-position model. Lineage: Bacteria; Pseudomonadati; Pseudomonadota; Gammaproteobacteria; Pseudomonadales; Pseudomonadaceae. The record is from RNAcentral.
AGAGUUUGAUCCUGGCUCAGAUUGAACGCUGGCGGCAGGCCUAACACAUGCAAGUCGAGCGGAUGAAGAGAGCUUGCUCUCUGAUUCAGCGGCGGACGGGUGAGUAAUGCCUAGGAAUCUGCCUGAUAGUGGGGGACAACGUUUCGAAAGGAACGCUAAUACCGCAUACGUCCUACGGGAGAAAGCAGGGGACCUUCGGGCCUUGCGCUAUCAGAUGAGUCUAGGUCGGAUUAGCUAGUUGGUGAGGAAUGGCUCACCAAGGCGACGAUCCGUAACUGGUCUGAGAGGAUGAUCAGUCACACUGGAACUGAGACACGGUCCAGACUCCUACGGGAGGCAGCAGUGGGGAAUAUUGGACAAUGGGCGAAAGCCUGAUCCAGCCAUGCCGCGUGUGUGAAGAAGGUCUUCGGAUUGUAAAGCACUUUAAGUUGGGAGGAAGGGCAUUAACCUAAUACGUUAGUGUUUUGACGUUACCGACAGAAUAAGCACCGGCUAACUUCGUGCCAGCAGCCGCGGUAAUACGAAGGGUGCAAGCGUUAAUCGGAAUUACUGGGCGUAAAGCGCGCGUAGGUGGUUUGUUAAGUUGAAUGUGAAAGCCCCGGGCUCAACCUGGGAACUGCAUCCAAAACUGGCAAGCUAGAGUAUGGCAGAGGGUGGUGGAAUUUCCUGUGUAGCGGUGAAAUGCGUAGAUAUAGGAAGGAACACCAGUGGCGAAGGCGACCACCUGGGCUAAUACUGACACUGAGGUGCGAAAGCGUGGGGAGCAAACAGGAUUAGAUACCCUGGUAGUCCACGCCGUAAACGAUGUCGACUAGCCGUUGGGAUCCUUGAGAUCUUAGUGGCGCACGUAACGCAUUAAGUCGACCGCCUGGGGAGUACGGCCGCAAGGUUAAAACUCAAAUGAAUUGAC